This 408-nucleotide ribosomal RNA is filed under the name uncultured bacterium. Its description in RNAcentral is "partial 16S ribosomal RNA". It matches the Rfam family "Bacterial small subunit ribosomal RNA", at positions 28 to 526 of the family's 1533-position model. The record is from RNAcentral.
GACGAACGCUGGCGGCGUGCUUAACACAUGCAAGUCGAACGAAGUGGCGAACGGGUGAGUAACGCGUAAUCAACCUGCCCUUCAGAGGGGGACAACAGUUGGCAACGACUGCUACUACCUCAUACUGAAGGAGGGGAUUGCGUCUGAUUCGCUAGUUGGCGGGGUAACGGCCCACCAAGGGGAUGAUCAGUAGCCGGUCCGGGAGGAUGAACGGCCACAUUGGGACUGAGACACGGCCCAGACUCCUACGGGGGGCAGCAGUGGGGAAUCUUCCGCAAUGGACGAAAGUCUGACGGAGCAACGCCGCGUUAGGGAUGACGGCCUUCGGGUUGUAAAGCUCUGUUAAUCGGGACGCGGUACCGGAAUAGAAAGCCACGGCUAACUACGUGCCAGCAGCCGCGGUAAUUC